Molecule: ribosomal RNA, 305 nt
Filed under: Rhizophagus irregularis
Lineage: Eukaryota; Fungi; Glomeromycota; Glomeromycetes; Glomerales; Glomeraceae
Source: RNAcentral
CAGUCGUACCUUCGGGUAAUCAGCCUUUCGAGUGCGAUUCUGUGGAGUGUGAGGAGCUAAACACCUUCAUGCCUGCAUAUUCGUGCUCUUGGGUGUACUUGCUCGUGUGGUUGGUUAACAUCAAUUUCGGACGCCAUAAAAUGGCUGGAGGAAUGUAGCUUCGAUCUCGUAUUGAAGUGUUAUAGCCUUCGGUAGAUGUGGUGAUCGAGAUUGGAGGAUUGCAACGGAUACCCUUCGGGGCUACCCGGUCUGAUCUCUGAAGGUUGCUCCGGUGCCGAAAGCGUGCUUAUGGUCAUCGAAAGUGA